Exaiptasia diaphana is the source of this 500-nucleotide long non-coding RNA. RefSeq lists it as uncharacterized. The transcript has 3 exons. The record is from RefSeq and is a predicted model, not a curated record. NCBI's taxonomy places the organism in Eukaryota, Metazoa, Cnidaria, Anthozoa, Actiniaria, Aiptasiidae.
AAUCAUAAUUGCUUGUGUGAUGAAUUUUUACAGCUCAGAAAUACACUUCAACUCGGGCCCGCAAUUAAUAAGCAUUAAAAAGUGGCUUUCAAAUACACCUGUUUCAGCCAGAACCACGGGUUGCUAUUGGUCGUUUAAGGCGCCGUCUAAAGUCUAUUUAUAAUUGAAAGUUGUGGAAGGCCUGGCAAAAGGAACAUACUAGCGUUUGACGGACCAAGUGUACUGAGCUAUCAAACAGUGUUACCAUGGGCAAGURGUGAUUAGUGUUGUAUAUCCACUAAAGACAGUUCUCUUCAAGAAUCAAUUUUGUUGUGACCAUCAUCAAACCAUGAAUUUAUCAAGCGUUGUCUUUGAAAUCUCGUUCCUUCUGAUGCUGUACAAGUCGAAUGCACAAUGUCCUGUCAGAUUUCGACCUCCAGAGGGAAAGUGUCUAAUAGGAUGUCUUUUUGAUUCGGAUUGCGAACCAAGAGAAAUUUGCUGUACGUCAGGGUGUUACAAUU